CUGUUCUAAGAUCCUCAUGAGGAUUGAUUAUUUUUCGUAGUUUCUUACCAGCAGCUGUAUUGGAAUGCACGUAAAUGCUAUGGAGCUGAUUGAUCAGCUAGAAGGCCACAUAGUGGUGGAUUUGGAGGAAGUUCAUUUUCUGGUGAUAUGGAUGUUGAUCUGGCUCUCAGAGCUAUCGUCUUUCCUACUAGGGCCCGUUAUGAUACAUGGCAUUCAUAUAAUGAUCUGAACAAGCGGCAA
Molecule: unclassified non-coding RNA, 240 nt
Filed under: Hevea brasiliensis (rubber tree)
Lineage: Eukaryota; Viridiplantae; Streptophyta; Magnoliopsida; Malpighiales; Euphorbiaceae
Source: RNAcentral